Molecule: long non-coding RNA, 306 nt
Filed under: Mytilus galloprovincialis (Mediterranean mussel)
Lineage: Eukaryota; Metazoa; Mollusca; Bivalvia; Mytilida; Mytilidae
Source: RNAcentral
GUGGCUUAUGAACACAGUUUAACUUAUCGUUUGCAACUUCUUAAGUCAAGCACUGUCCUGAAUUUCUUUUCAAAAUACUGAUGUCAAUCACCCGUUUAUCACAAAUAUUUUCAAUAAUCCUCAGCCUGCAUAGCACUCAGAUAGUCAAUAUCAAAAAAUAUAAAAUACCCUGUGUAUAUGCUGCUAGUGGUCGAGUCAACGUUCACGUAACACUGCUACCUUGGGUACUUUUAAACAUUUGAGUCGUCUACAACUGAUUUUGAGCUUCCAUUUUUUAGAGGAUUCGUCUCCUUGGGUUAUAACUAC